CUGCACGCUCUGCUUCGAGGUGCCCGCGUCGUGUGCGGGAGAAUCGGGAAGGCGGUUCGAAUCCGCCGCGCGCCCAGCGCCGUAACGGGGAUUGUCCGGGCAAGGCCAUGUCCAGCCACUGGUCCGCGAGGACCGGGAAGGCGCCCGGACGAGACGAUCCGCAGCCGGAAGACCGGCCCCGAAGCGUUUUAUGCA
This 195-nucleotide non-coding RNA is filed under the name Thauera chlorobenzoica. The record is from RNAcentral. Lineage: Bacteria; Pseudomonadati; Pseudomonadota; Betaproteobacteria; Rhodocyclales; Zoogloeaceae.